RNA transcript from Triticum aestivum (bread wheat), 1575 nucleotides. RefSeq lists it as uncharacterized. Lineage: Eukaryota; Viridiplantae; Streptophyta; Magnoliopsida; Poales; Poaceae. The transcript has 6 exons. The record is from RefSeq and is a predicted model, not a curated record.
UGCGCUUUUCCUUCUCUAAUCAGCUGUGCGGUUUCUCCAGUGAUGGUUGCUUCCGCUGCUGCUCGGUCCAGCCGCCGCCGUCGGGGCCGCUCUCCUGGUAUUCGAGCCGUUGUUAUUGCCCGUGUCCGUCGUGCUGCUGGCCGUCUUUCUUCGCUGGAUUUUCCAUUGCCGGCAAAUGCUGGUGUGCAUGGCCAGCUGGCUGAUUCGGAAUGCCGUGUCCGGUCCGGGGCUCGCCGGCCAUUUCGUUCUUCCCGGACUGGUGUGCACCAAUUAGAUUCGUGGCGAGAUGUUAAUGUGGACGUCGAUAGUCGCCGUCGGGAGAUUUCAUUAGGGAAGCGGCCUGUGGAUUGUACCAUUGACACUUCGCCUGUUGAAGUGGUUGACGGAUCGAGUAUUUGUGUUUCUGGUUUUCCUGCUGGUGUUCAUCUUUAUGGCUCUUUGGUUGGUGCUACGACUUACCGUUGCCGUCCAAGAGUGGUGCCCUUAUGUGCCGCCGGUACCUUUGGUCGGCCUACUUCUCUUGAGCACUCUCGUGUUGUGUGUGCUUGCCGUAAGCGGACUUUGGUGCGAUCGUACUGGUCGGACCGGAAAAGAGUACGUGGGAUGCAACCUCCGUUUUCUAAAGAUUACAUCCAACUGCUUAAGGGUGAGUAUAUAUAAUUUAUGGUUUAUGUGUCCGUGCUGCUUUCCAUUUGUGUUGCCGAAUCGGUGUUCUGUUUUGCAGCUACUUUUAGGGGGCGUUCGUAUUAUGGUGGACCGGAUUUGUGCUGCCGGAAAUGUGGGGCUUUUUUUUAUCCUGAAAUUGUCGCCGCCCUGAUAAAUAUGCUGAAUACACAUCACCGUUUGGUGGACACGUUCAGAAUUGCUCAAUAGAGUCUGCACCCCUGGUGUUUCUAAGGUGUCCAUUCGUUUUUUGGUGAUGACAGUGGUGCUCAUGCUGUGUUAGUUGUGGACACUUGGAUAGCGACAAUGUUGACCGUGAUUUGGAGGAUGGGGAUGUCACCCGUGGUCAGAUUACUAUGUUGGAGUACUGCAAAUACUAUGCUCACUAUCGUGAAGGUGAAAUUAAUCCUUAUACAAGUUGCAGUUGUUUGAGCUAGCAGAUUGCCGUUAAUGCAUUUUCUUGUGUAGAGGCUGGUCGAUUGGAGUACCAUUUCCAUAAACAAGAUAAACUUCAUUCUGAAGUUUAUCGGGGCAUAUCUGAUGCAAUGGGUGUACAAUAAUAAGUGUGCUUGCAUGAAGAAUGAUUGUUGUUCCAAGUGCUUUCCAAAGCCAUUUAGUGAUGAUACAAUGGUUGAUCGUGUUGGCUAUCCGGUUUACCGUCGUUCUGAUAACGGGCUUUAUGUGCUCAGACAGAAAGACUUACUUUAUUUGGGAAAUCAAUGGGUUGUUUCAUACAACAUGAAAUUGUUGAAGAGGUUUGACGCCCACAUAAAUGUGGAGUGGUGUAACAGGACAAAUUUAUUGAAAUACCUGUUUAAAUAUCUUACAAAGGGUCAUGAUGUGGUUCAUAUGCGUUUCUACGCUCAAGAUAAACCUAGUGGUGUUUUUACUGUGCCUUCUCCUACUGGCAGA